This 293-nucleotide ribosomal RNA is filed under the name uncultured bacterium. RNAcentral describes it as "partial 16S ribosomal RNA". It matches the Rfam family "Bacterial small subunit ribosomal RNA", at positions 775 to 1067 of the family's 1533-position model. The record is from RNAcentral.
GGAUUAGAUACCCUGGUAGUCCACGCCGUAAACUAUGAGGACUAGACAUGAGGAGACGUGAGUUUUUUUGUGUCGUAGCUAACGCGAUAAGUCUUCCGCCUGGGGAGUACGGCCGCAAGGUUAAAACUCAAAGGAAUUGACGGGGGCCCGCACAAGCGGUGGAGCAUGUGGUUUAAUUCGACGAUACGCGAAGAACCUUACCUACUUUUGAAUGUACGGAACCUGACAGAGAUGUCGGGGUGCCGCAAGGAGCCGUAACACAGGUGCUGCAUGGCUGUCGUCAGCUCGUGCCG